Molecule: long non-coding RNA, 3891 nt
Filed under: Xyrichtys novacula (pearly razorfish)
Lineage: Eukaryota; Metazoa; Chordata; Actinopteri; Labriformes; Labridae
Source: RNAcentral
CUUUUUGUUUGAGUGAUAAAAGAGACUGGCGAUCAUACACCAACAGAGACUCGAUUUGUUUAGUGCCAAUGGUUAAAAACAACAGAAAAAACAAGCAUUGCAGUAGUAGCAGACGUAGCAGACGGCCAGCCACACACACCGGCGCCAUCUUGCACGACGUUCUCUUGGAUUACGGCCUGCUGCUAAGACCUGCCUGCCCCAAAUAUUCUUCAAAUACUGCCAUAUAACUCCAUAUAGAUCUUGUUUUGCUGACCCUUGCCCCCCUCUGCCAAUCUGUCUCUGUGUACUUCUUUCACAUACGCAGUGGGAGAUCAUUAGUGCUAACAGGAACACCUGGACAUGGUGGUCUGUCUGUGAGCUGUUACCAUCUCUCCCUUAAAGACAAAUGCUAUGUGAUAAUGCUGAUGCUUUAGUUUCUCUUUAGCUUUUGUUUUUCUGUUAACGAAUUCCAUUGUUAAGCUUUGAUUCGCUGAUUAAUAAGUCUGAUGAAUGUAUUACGUUAUCUUUUGAAAUCAGGUAUCUCCUACUUUGCUGUAGCCUAGACCAGGGUAUUAACCUCAGGAUCUUUUCUGUGUAUGUAAGCCGACAUGUUAAAGUAUGGCAUUCACAGUAACUUAGCGUGUGUCUCUUAAACCAUCUGAGGUGUUUAAGUACAUGUUGUUUUGUUGGUUUGUGUUUGACUACCUGUUAGUGAAGGUUGGUGCCAGGAUUUCUUGGAUGGACACCAGUUACUGGCGUUUCAUCUCAGCGAGGCAGCACCUGCCUGUGUGGCUGCUGCCAUGUGGCAGUAACAUAAUUGGCAUGUCAAAAUCAAUAGAUGUUCACUGUGAGUAACAAAUCAUGCUGUGUCAGCUGAAAAAAAAAAAAAAGAAAGAUCUUACUAAGGAGUUUGAAUCAGCUGGUUUUAAUUGGUUGUAGAAAUUUGGAUUGUCAAGUCUUCAUUCAUUUUGUGUGGGGUUAGAAAUUAUAUGCCACUUUUCAGAGUUGUAUUUUUCUUAAUGGAGUUUGGGAGACUGUUGCAACCAGAUUCAUCACUGAAGCUGAAAAACAUGAGGUCAUCUGAAUUGAUAAAGUUUGGUUUUAAAAAUGUUUGGUAACCCAUACACUUUGUCAUGGGAUUUUGUGCCAGAUUGUGACAAAUUUACAGGCUCUAAAAACUUGCAGAGAAUUUUCACCUGCUGACCGUUAGCUAUGUAGGUUAUAGUCAGUGUCAUGCUAGUCACUGAAAAAUAGUUACUAGUUGCUUUGUAAAAAAGUAUCUCAGUUAGUAACUUAGUUACUUAAACCAAAAAGUAAUGUGUUACUGAGAAAGUCCCUUUUUAGUUACUGUAAAACGUUCUGCCAAUGCUUCCAUUACAUAAAGGUGGAUCGACUGAGUUCCCCUCUAGCCGUCAUUUCAGUUCUGUACUUAUACUGAAUAAAACAAAGUGUUGAUUAAAACAACCAUUUCAAUUUAUUUGCAUCCACAUCACUGAAUCUAAUCAUCCAAGCAAUAUGAUGCGUUAUACACCAACACAAACCUUGACACUAACACCUAAAUUUUACCAUUGGACUCGUGUAAUAAUAGCGUGAUAGUGCUUGAAUAGAUCCAAAUAAACAAUUAAACAUACUGUGCUAUUGUUUUAUCAAGUUGUGCCUGGCUAUGGGUUUGUCUUUUGAACCCCAACCCCUGCUGCUUGGGUGGAGUAGGUGUGUGCUAGCUGCUGUGACUCUCAGUCUUGGAUGCUGCGUCAGCUAUCUUAGCUGCAUGCCACUUCUCUAGUUGGCUCAGUAGAUUGCUGUUGCUGUUGUAUGCCAUAGAAAGGAUUUUUGACCCGGGACGCAGUUUACAUGUUACUGAAAUGUUGUUUUUCCCUUUGUUCUCGAGUUAAAAAUAAUGUGAGUAUCUCCAUGAGGAGAAACGUAUCCUCCCCUUCUCGCUCGCCAUCAUGCCGUGCCCUGACCUGUGCUUUAUUUUCCAAUUCAAUUAAACUUUAUCGACUGCAAAAAUGUUAUGGGAACUGUGUGCCGUUGUAAAACCUCACCAAGAGGAACGGAGCCCAAUAGAUUUGGGCUCCAUUCUGCUGCGUUGGAGCAACGCAGUGUUUGGUAAGCGAAACGGAGUUACUGAAUUUAAAAAAAACAUGCGUUAUAUUAUUAGUUACUGAAUAAAGGAACAGUGUUGCGUAAGGGCAUUACUAAUAAUGCGUUACUACCCAACACUGGUGAUAGCUGCAGUGUUAACUUCACUGUUAAAGAAAAACUUAAGUCUAAUCAAAGUCUGUACAGCUAUGCUUCUGUAAUUGACAUUAGUUAAGGUUUAAAUGUCACCAUUGAUAGCAAUGGUGAUAUUUGCAGUGCACGUGUGAAUAUGAAAAAAAUGGUUUUCUGCACAGCGCACUGUGUUCACACACAAGCUGACAAACUUCAAUCUUUUCUUGUCUCUCUCUCUUCUGAUAUGUAAGGCCACCAUCCCAAUCUCCACUUCAGUUUUUAUCCCAGACCAAUUUUCCUUUGUGGCCACUUUCUCUGAUCUCUGUCUUCUCCCCCUUCCCUCCACUUGUGACUGCUGUAUGAGCUCUGGCUGUUCACUGCUCAUCUCAAAGGUUGUGCAGACAAGCUAACACAGGUACGAUGCACACUAAAGCCACAAUGCAGACAAGGGUCAGCAUGUACUCAACAACAGAACAAUCACAGAGACCAUGUUCAUGUGAAAAGAGCAACAAUUUAUUCUGUUAUUUUUCUCCUUCCAGGGAAAAUUGUCUGUCUAGUGUACAAUUCAGUGAGCAACAGAACAAUACAGGAGCACAAUUUUGAUGUAACAGCUGACCCAAAAUAUCAAUAAAGUCAAUUUUAACACUGUCUAUUUCAAUAAAAUAUUGAAAUUGUAAUAUAAUCAAAAUUCAAUCCCUUAAAUCUAUUGGGCUCUUGCAUUUUAUUUAAAGGCAUUGCAUCACAGGUAAAACUUACAGGUUUUAAUGAGCAGUUUUCAAGCAUGCAAUCUGGACAAUCUCAGCGGCCCAAAAUAUACGAGUUUACUGUUCACCCAUGUAUCCUCACAGCAUGAGGUCUUACCUGUUAGACACGGGGUCAUUGGAGUUGACAUCAGGAUCCUCAGGAGGAUCAUUACAUCUAGUAGAUGCUUUUAUGUUAAACAAUCUUAUUCAAGAUGAAAACAAAUGAUCCUUCAGUUUUGCCCUUGCAUAUGUCUACUGGAUAUUUUCUCUUUUUCCCUUCCCAACCUCUGGUAUCUGCGUCUGUUCAUAAACUCACUGCUGUUAUUGUCAAGGAUUGCUAUAAAGCCUAUUUUAUAAAGGUGACAGAGUAUGCUUUUACAAGGUUUUUUGCCUUUAGACCAGUGUAAUUGAAGGUACCCACAGUAUCAACAAAUGAAUAAAAAAGAACAGACUGGAUCAGAAGAGCGGGUAUGAGCCCAUCUCACUACAUUUUGAUGUUAUUUUCAUCCCUUUUAAUGUAGCUUUUCUUGGUUCACACCAAUAUUCCUUCGAAUAGAGUUUCCAGUCACGAUACGCUCCUAAGUGGCUCAGCACAUGUGUUGAUAAGCAGUUGUCACCUGUAGGAGUAUCAUUGGAUUGAAGACAACUGUCUAAUGUGGUAAGCUUUAAGAAUAAAUAGCGGAUUUUGUAAAAGUGUAUCUAAACACAUUACCUGAAUACCUUAAAAGAAGAGAGUGGUGGUGUGGUGCAUACUGAUUCUGUUAUAGUUAACAUGCCUUGAUAAUGAGCACCUGCAAAAUGCAGGUGAAUUUCAGUCAUAGUAAGUGGCCCCAUGAGCUACUUUGUUGGGGCGUAACUGAUUUUUUUUUCUUAUUCUAGUCCCCUCAAAAGGCAUCUGAAGUAGUUAACCAUUUGCAAUGUGAUGCUACAAUACAACAACUCCAUAAGCACUAUC